RNAcentral lists this ribosomal RNA (254 nucleotides) under uncultured bacterium. RNAcentral describes it as "partial 16S ribosomal RNA". It matches the Rfam family "Bacterial small subunit ribosomal RNA", at positions 524 to 776 of the family's 1533-position model. The record is from RNAcentral.
UACGUAGGGGGCAAGCGUUGUCCGGAUUUAUUGGGCGUAAAGAGCUCGUAGGCGGUUCGGUAAGUCGGGUGUGAAACCUCCAGGCUCAACCUGGAGACGCCACCCGAUACUGCUGUGACUAGAGUCCGGUAGGGGAGCGUGGAAUUCCUGGUGUAGCGGUGAAAUGCGCAGAUAUCAGGAGGAACACCAGUGGCGAAGGCGCCGCUCUGGGCCGUAACUGACGCUGAGAAGCGAAAGCGUGGGUAGCAAACAGG